This 292-nucleotide ribosomal RNA is filed under the name uncultured bacterium. Its description in RNAcentral is "partial 16S ribosomal RNA". It matches the Rfam family "Bacterial small subunit ribosomal RNA", at positions 505 to 796 of the family's 1533-position model. The record is from RNAcentral.
GUGCCAGCCGCCGCGGUAAUACGGAGGGUGCAAGCGUUGCUCGGAAUUACUGGGCGUAAAGAGCGUGUAGGCGGUGUCGCAUGUCUGGCGUGAAAGCCCCGGGCUUACCCCGGGAAGUGCGUUGGAAACUGCGAGACUAGAGUCCCGGAGAGGAAGGUGGAAUUCCAGGUGUAGCGGUGAAAUGCGUAGAUAUCUGGAAGAACACCGGUGGCGAAGGCGGCCUUCUGGACGGUGACUGACGCUGAGACGCGAAAGCGUGGGGAGCAAACAGGAUUAGAUACCCCCGUAGUCC